RNAcentral lists this ribosomal RNA (492 nucleotides) under uncultured bacterium. RNAcentral describes it as "partial 16S ribosomal RNA". It matches the Rfam family "Bacterial small subunit ribosomal RNA", at positions 29 to 507 of the family's 1533-position model. The record is from RNAcentral.
AGUGAACGCUGGCGGUAGGCCUAACACAUGCAAGUCGAACGGCAGCACAGUAAGAGCUUGCUCUUACGGGUGGCGAGUGGCGGACGGGUGAGGAAUACAUCGGAAUCUACUUUUUCGUGGGGGAUAACGUAGGGAAACUUACGCUAAUACCGCAUACGACCUACGGGUGAAAGCAGGGGAUCUUCAGACCUUGCGCGACUGAAUGAGCCGAUGUCGGAUUAGCUAGUUGGCGGGGUAAAGGCCCACCAAGGCGACGAUCCGUAGCUGGUCUGAGAGGAUGAUCAGCCACACUGGAACUGAGACACGGUCCAGACUCCUACGGGAGGCAGCAGUGGGGAAUAUUGGACAAUGGGCGCAAGCCUGAUCCAGCCAUGCCGCGUGGGUGAAGAAGGCCUUCGGGUUGUAAAGCCCUUUUGUUGGGGAAGAAAAGCAGCAGAUUAAUACCCCGCUGUUCUGACGGUACCCAAAGAAUAAGCACCGGCUAACUUCGUG